UAAUACCGCAUACCGCCUGGAGGGGGAAAGGUGGGGGAUCGCAAGACCUCACGUUAUUCGAGCGGCCAACGUCUGAUUAGCUAGUUGGUGGGGUAAAGGCCUACCAAGGCGACGAUCAGUAGCGGGUCUGAGAGGAUGAUCCGCCACACGUGGGACUGAGACACCGGCCCAGACUCCUACGGGGAGGCAGCAGGUGGGGUAAUUUUGGACAAUGGGGGCAACCCUGAUCCAGCCAUUCCGCGUGAGUGAAGAAGGCCUUCGGGUUGUAAAGCUCUUUCAGCUGGAGUGAAACGGUGCGCUCUAACAUAGCGCGCUAAUGACGGUACCAGCAGAAGAAGCACCGGCUAACUACGUG
Molecule: ribosomal RNA, 355 nt
Filed under: uncultured bacterium
Lineage: Bacteria
Description: bacterial SSU rRNA
Rfam family: Bacterial small subunit ribosomal RNA
Source: RNAcentral